AUGGCGAUGCUCAUUUUUGCUCAGCUCCUCUGCAGCACCACUCACACGUUGCAAUCACUUUGCCAAGUCCAGGACUUCCUGGGGACAUCUGGACAUUUCUUUUUGGAGCCAGACUUGCCCGUGCAAGAAGACUUCGUGAGCCAGGUGCCUUGGUGGAUGCGAUGGAAAAGCACCUUUCCCAAUGAAAAACGGAGCCCUGCUCCGUGCCAGAGCCCAGCUUGCAGCAGCUCUCAGCCUUCCAGGAGGCUGCCAAGAAACGGGUCAUUUUGGGCUGUAUUUUUAGCUCGCUGGCACCUGCCCAUGAGGAACGGAGCAGAGAAAGAAACCCAGAGAAAAAUCCAGCAAAAUGAGUUUUGAAGUCCCCUACUGUGCCUGCAGAGAGGAGAGGCAGGGACUUGCUGGUGUCCCUGGGUGCCUUGUGCCAUCCAGCCAUUAUUUGGGGUUUGGGGAAACGGAGAGGCUGCAAAGCACACUGACUUGCUCCAGGCAUCCUCAGGGUCAGAAACCAAACCCGAAUCAAGCACACGUUGAAUAUUAAAAGUUUGGCAUCCUUGGAUCCGUGUCCCCUGCAUAGCAGCACAGGCACACGUCUCGGCAUCAUCCCUUCAAAUAACCCAAGGCCACCGAGCGUGGCCAGCAGGAGGACCCUUAGGGCUGAUACUUCUUCAAAGAGCAUCUCCCAGUCCAUAAAUAUUUCUGCCCGACUGCAGGACAAAGCAUAAUGUAUAAAAGAUUGAAUAGGAGAUAUAUUAUGCUAUUGCAUACCAAUCCUGUCCUGGGGAAUUUAUGGCUUCGAUAUAUCCGCUGUUAAAGGAGGGAUUCUGGCUGGUGGAGGAAUUCAAUUCAUCUUGAAUCCAUUGCAGACCAUCAAUAUUAUGGUUUGCCCGUUUCAACUGGAAAUGGGAUCAAUUUAAUUUUUAUUUUUGGCUAUUUCUGGUCAAAAAUAAGUUAACUUGAAACCUGUGUUGCACCACUGACAUGGUGCCCACAUGGGCACGUUGAGUCUUGGUUAUGGCUAAAAACUGCCCCAAAAGUGGCAGUGCCCAUUUUCAUGGCAGUGUGCUUGAAAUUUCCCCCGUGCCACUGUAUGUUUGUGCCCAUAGCACCUCUUAAAUGGGUCUGGCUUUUAUCCUGCUCAUUUUUUUUUUAUUUUUAUUUUUUAUGGAACUUGUGCCUUUACGCUCCAUCAAACCUCCCCAGCGUGGAGAUACCUGGGCUCAGCACACGCAGGCUAAGACACAUCUGGAGGGAGCAGUGGGGAGAUGAGGACAAAAUUAAAGAAAAAAGAAAAGGAGUGGGUUUUGUUUUUCCAAAAAGCAAUCUGUUCCAAAGCAAUUACGCCCUGCUACCUGUGCUGAACUUCCUUCUUCUUCAUUGCUGUGACAUUUGCAUGAGAAUGGGAUGAAAAGCAAUUCUUCAGGCAGCAGAUUCCCACCUGUUCUCCCUGCUUCUUCCCUACCCGAAAGGCUUGGCUCCUCCAGCACGGCCCCAGCAGGGAAAUUGAGGCAGACCCAGCUCCCCGGCCCUCCCCUGCCAACUCCUCAAUCCCAAACACGUGCCACAAAAAAAUAAAAAAAUAAAAAAGAAAAAAAAAUAGCUGGUC
This 1603-nucleotide long non-coding RNA is filed under the name Anas platyrhynchos platyrhynchos (common mallard). RNAcentral describes it as "lncRNA (ENSAPLG00000023701.1)". Lineage: Eukaryota; Metazoa; Chordata; Aves; Anseriformes; Anatidae. The record is from RNAcentral.